AUGGCGCGGCGCGCCUACCCCUCCGUCGGCGCUGGGCACCCGCUGCUACGCCUCAACCCGCACCAGUGCAUCCCUUUCUUGGAGGGCCUAUUCGUUAGCCGGCGCGGGGAGGCCAAGCUCGAGGCGCUACCUUCCCCGCGCGUCAUGAACACGCACAUGCCGCUGGCCAUGAUACCGCGAGCCGCCGCGCCCGGCGGGGGCGGGUGCAAGGUCGCGUACGUCUGCAGGCAGCCCAAGGACAUGGUGGUCUCGCGGUGGCACUUCCACCGGCGGCUGCAUCCCGAGCUGGCGUUCGCCGACGUCUUCGGGGCCGUGUGCAGCGGCGUGGUGGCGUACGGACCAGCGAAAACAUGUUUUAGAGUCUAUGCAUCCGGAAGAAGAAGAAGAAGGGUGUUAGUAUUGUUGCAUUGUGGGAAAGAGCUUCCAAUGCAAAUAAAAGAACUUCGACAUCUACACCAAAUCCUCCUGAUGUUGAAGUUGAGAACAGUAGUAUCAUUCCUCCUACUAUUGAGAGCAAUCUACAACUGGCACUUGUGCAAGCACAUGAACCUGAUGAUGGCCACCCAGAACCUGAGAGUGCAGCUGGCUCCCCAACCCCAAUUGUAG
Molecule: ribosomal RNA, 606 nt
Filed under: Triticum aestivum (bread wheat)
Lineage: Eukaryota; Viridiplantae; Streptophyta; Magnoliopsida; Poales; Poaceae
Description: partial small subunit ribosomal RNA
Source: RNAcentral